Molecule: transfer RNA, 89 nt
Organism: Termitomyces sp. J132
Lineage: Eukaryota; Fungi; Basidiomycota; Agaricomycetes; Agaricales; Lyophyllaceae
Rfam family: tRNA
About the family: Transfer RNA (tRNA) molecules are approximately 80 nucleotides in length. Their secondary structure includes four short double-helical elements and three loops (D, anti-codon, and T loops). Further hydrogen bonds mediate the characteristic L-shaped molecular structure. tRNAs have two regions of fundamental functional importance: the anti-codon, which is responsible for specific mRNA codon recognition, and the 3' end, to which the tRNAs corresponding amino acid is attached (by aminoacyl-tRNA synthetases). tRNAs cope with the degeneracy of the genetic code in two manners: having more than one tRNA (with a specific anti-codon) for a particular amino acid; and 'wobble' base-pairing, i.e. permitting non-standard base-pairing at the 3rd anti-codon position.
Source: Rfam
CCGACUUUAGCUCAGUUGGUAGAGCGCAAGACUGUAAUGGUUAUGACGUUCAUAUCUUGAUGCCGCCUGUUCGAUCCAGGCAAGUCGGA